RNAcentral lists this microRNA precursor (208 nucleotides) under Oryza rufipogon (brownbeard rice). RNAcentral's name for it is "MIR812 microRNA precursor family". It matches the Rfam family "MIR812 microRNA precursor family". The record is from Rfam by way of RNAcentral. Lineage: Eukaryota; Viridiplantae; Streptophyta; Magnoliopsida; Poales; Poaceae.
AAUAAGUAUAGUUUUACACUAUUCACAUUCAACGUUUGACCAUUCGUCUUAUUUGAAUUUUUUUUAUGAUUAGUAUUUUUAUUGCUAUUAGAUGAUAAAACAUGAAUAGUGCUUUAUGUAUGACUAAAUUUUUUAAAUUUUUUCAUAAAUUUUUUAAAUAAGACGGACAGUCAAACGUUGGACACGGAUAUCCACGGCUGCAUUUAUU